GCUAGCUACAGGCUUAACACAUGCAAGUCGAGGGGCAGCAUUUUAGUUUGCUUGCAAACUGAAGAUGGCGACCGGCGCACGGGUGAGUAACACGUAUCCAACCUACCGAUAACUCCGGAAUAGCCUUUCGAAAGAAAGAUUAAUACCGGAUAGCAUACGAAUAUCGCAUGAUAUUUUUAUUAAAGAAUUUCGGUUAUCGAUGGGGAUGCGUUCCAUUAGUUUGUUGGCGGGGUAACGGCCCACCAAGACUACGAUGGAUAGGGGUUCUGAGAGGAAGGUCCCCCACAUUGGAACUGAGACACGGUCCAAACUCCUACGGGAGGCAGCAGUGAGGAAUAUUGGUCAAUGGGCGAGAGCCUGAACCAGCCAAGUAGCGUGAAGGAUGAAGGCUCUAUGGGUCGUAAACUUCUUUUAUAUGGGAAUAAAGUUUUCCACGUGUGGAAUUUUGUAUGUACCAUAUGAAUAAGGAUCGGCUAACUCCGUGCCAGCAGCCGCGGUAAUACGGAGGAUCCGAGCGUUAUCCGGAUUUAUUGGGUUUAAAGGGAGCGUAGGUGGAUUGUUAAGUCAGUUGUGAAAGUUUGCGGCUCAACCGUAAAAUUGCAGUUGAAACUGGCAGUCUUGAGUACAGUAGAGGUGGGCGGAGUUCGUGGUGUAGCGGUGAAAUGCUUAGAUAUCACGAAGAACUCCGAUUGCGAAGGCAGCUCACUAGACUGUCACUGACACUGAUGCUCGAAAGUGUGGGUAUCAAACAGGAUUAGAUACCCUGGUAGUCCACACAGUAAACGAUGAAUACUCGCUGUUUGCGAUAUACAGUAAGCGGCCAAGCGAAAGCAUUAAGUAUUCCACCUGGGGAGUACGCCGGCAACGGUGAAACUCAAAGGAAUUGACGGGGGCCCGCACAAGCGGAGGAACAUGUGGUUUAAUUCGAUGAUACGCGAGGAACCUUACCCGGGCUUAAAUUGCAACAGAAUAUAUUGGAAACAGUAUAGCCGUAAGGCUGUUGUGAAGGUGCUGCAUGGUUGUCGUCAGCUCGUGCCGUGAGGUGUCGGCUUAAGUGCCAUAACGAGCGCAACCCUUAUCUUUAGUUACUAACAGGUUAUGCUGAGGACUCUAGAGAGACUGCCGUCGUAAGAUGUGAGGAAGGUGGGGAUGACGUCAAAUCAGCACGGCCCUUACGUCCGGGGCUACACACGUGUUACAAUGGGGGGUACAGAAGGCGGCUACCUGGUGACAGGAUGCUAAUCCCAAAAACCUCUCUCAGUUCGGAUCGAAGUCUGCAACCCGACUUCGUGAAGCUGGAUUCGCUAGUAAUCGCGCAUCAGCCAUGGCGCGGUGAAUACGUUCCCGGGCCUUGUACACACCGCCCGUCAAGCCAUGAAAGCCGGGGGUACCUGAAGUACGUAACCGCAAGGAGCGUCCUAGGGUAAAACUGGUAAUUGG
This 1440-nucleotide ribosomal RNA is filed under the name uncultured organism. Its description in RNAcentral is "SSU rRNA". It matches the Rfam family "Bacterial small subunit ribosomal RNA". The record is from RNAcentral.